This 386-nucleotide unclassified non-coding RNA is filed under the name uncultured Phycisphaeraceae bacterium. RNAcentral's name for it is "contains 16S-23S intergenic spacer region". The record is from RNAcentral. Lineage: Bacteria; Pseudomonadati; Planctomycetota; Phycisphaerae; Phycisphaerales; Phycisphaeraceae.
UCCGGUUUGACACCGGCAGUCCCGUUAGAGUGCCCAGCAUGACCUGAUGGCAACUAACGGCAGGGGUUUCGCUCGUUAAGGGACUUAACCCGACACUUCACAGCACGAGCUGACGACAGCCAUGCAGCACCUGUGCACGUUCCACCCGGAAGGGUGUCACUCCGCUUUCACAGAGCUAAUCCGUGCAUGUCAAACCCAGGAUAAGGUUCUUCGCGUUGCUUCGAAUUAAGCCACAUGCUCCACCGCUUGUGUGAGCCCCCGUCAAUUCCUUUGAGUUUUAGCCUUGCGACCGUACUCCCCAGGCGGUGCACUUAUUAGUUUUCCUUCGGCCCCGAUGAUGUCAGAAUCUCCGAGACCUAGUGCACAUCGUUUACGGCGUGGACUAC